This 126-nucleotide ribosomal RNA is filed under the name Exosporium sp. Its description in RNAcentral is "partial large subunit ribosomal RNA". Lineage: Eukaryota; Fungi; Ascomycota; Dothideomycetes. The record is from RNAcentral.
CCGAGUUGUAAUUUGUAGAGGGUGCUUUGGCGUUGGCUGUGGUCUAAGUUCCUUGGAACAGGACGUCGCAGAGGGUGAGAAUCCCGUAUGUGGCCGCCAGUCUUCGCCGUGUAAAGCCCCUUCGAC